GGGCGUAAGCGCGCGUAGGUGGCUUGAUAAGCCGGUUGUGAAAGCCCCGGGCUCAACCUGGGAACGGCAUCCGGAACUGUCAGGCUAGAGUGCAGGAGAGGAAGGUAGAAUUCCCGGUGUAGCGGUGAAAUGCGUAGAGAUCGGGAGGAAUACCAGUGGCGAAGGCGGCCUUCUGGACUGACACUGACACUGAGGUGCGAAAGCGUGGGUAGCAAACAGGAUUAGAUACCCUGGUAGUCCACGCCGUAAACGAUGUCGACCAGCCGUUGGGUGCCUAGAGCACUUUGUGGCGAAGUUAACGCGAUAAGUCGACCGCCUGGGGAGUACGGCCGCAAGGUUAAAACUCAAAUGAAUUGACGGGGGCCCGCACAAGCGGUGGAGCAUGUGGUUUAAUUCGAUGCAACGCGAAGAACCUUACCUACCCUUGACAUCUACAGAAGCCGGAAGAGAUUCUGGUGUGCCUUCGGGAACUGUAAGACAGGUGCUGCAUGGCUGUCGUCAGCUCGUGUUGUGAAAUGUUGGGUUAAGUCCCGUAACGAGCGCAACCCUUGUCCUUAUUUGCCAGCGAGUAAUGUCGGGAACUCUAAGGAGACUGCCGGUGACAAACCGGAGGAAGGUGGGGACGACGUCAAGUCAUCAUGGCCCUUACGGGUAGGGCUACACACGUGCUACAAUGGCCGGUACAAAGGGCUGCGAGCUCGCGAGAGUCAGCGAAUCCCUUAAAGCCGGUCUCAGUCCGGAUCGGAGUCUGCAACUCGACUCCGUGAAGUCGGAAUCGCUAGUAAUCGUGAAUCAGAAUGUCACGGUGAAUACGUUCCCGGGCCUUGUACACACCGCCCGUCACACCAUGGGAGUGGACUGCACCAGAAGUGGUUAGCCUAACGCAAGAGGGCGAUCACCACGGUGUGGUUCAUGACUGGG
RNAcentral lists this ribosomal RNA (921 nucleotides) under Halomonas sp. Its description in RNAcentral is "bacterial SSU rRNA". It matches the Rfam family "Bacterial small subunit ribosomal RNA", at positions 556 to 1479 of the family's 1533-position model. The record is from RNAcentral. Lineage: Bacteria; Pseudomonadati; Pseudomonadota; Gammaproteobacteria; Oceanospirillales; Halomonadaceae.